RNAcentral lists this unclassified non-coding RNA (253 nucleotides) under uncultured Halomonadaceae bacterium. RNAcentral's name for it is "contains 16S-23S intergenic spacer region". It matches the Rfam family "Bacterial small subunit ribosomal RNA", at positions 524 to 776 of the family's 1533-position model. Lineage: Bacteria; Pseudomonadati; Pseudomonadota; Gammaproteobacteria; Oceanospirillales; Halomonadaceae. The record is from RNAcentral.
UACGGAGGGUGCGAGCGUUAAUCGGAAUUACUGGGCGUAAAGCGCGCGUAGGCGGCGUGGUAAGCCGGUUGUGAAAGCCCCGGGCUCAACCUGGGAACGGCAUUUGGUACUGUUAGGCUAGAGUGCGGGAGAGGAAGGUAGAAUUCCCGGUGUAGCGGUGAAAUGCGUAGAGAUCGGGAGGAAUACCGGUGGCGAAGGCGGCCUUCUAGACUGACACUGACGCUGAGGUGCGAAAGCGUGGGUAGCAAACAGG